This 2151-nucleotide long non-coding RNA is filed under the name Canis lupus dingo (dingo). RNAcentral describes it as "lncRNA (ENSCAFG00020018642.1)". The record is from RNAcentral. Lineage: Eukaryota; Metazoa; Chordata; Mammalia; Carnivora; Canidae.
AAGGUGUUUCCGUGAGAGCAGCUCACCUGUCAAGAAGUUCCCGAUGAAGCGUGCAUAGAAGGGAACCUCCCAGCUAACAAGGUUCCCCAGUCCUGAGCCCCGAAGAGGCGCCCAGGCCACUGAGGAGGCAGCCAGGAGGCCCCUGGUUACAGCAGCAUCCACGGAGCACCUCGGCACCUGGCCCACAUGGAGGGCGCUGGGUUGGCGGGGAGCCACGGAGGACCUCGAAUGGAAUGGACACGGGGACGCCAGCAGAUGUCCCAGGGACGUGCCGUAGAUCGCCCUUCACGCUGGGAUCUGUUCCUACGGGCCUCAUGCCGACCUCGAUCUGAGGGAAGACACGCUGCGGAGGACGGCUGGACUGAGCGCAGCCUUGCGGCCUCGGUUCCAGGGAGGACAGCCCAGGGCGCCCGAGUCCUGGUGCUCAUGACAGACGCCUGUGACACUGGGGACACAUGGACAUUUUCUCUGGAGCAGGACAAGUGAGGGCAGGUUCGCAGCCAGCCCACAGCGCCAGUGGCCCUCUUGACCAGAGUCCUGCCGGGAUCCAGGCUGGCCCACGGGGGCAGGUGGACGCUGCUGCCCGUGGUUGUCUGCAGCUUCCGGAGGCGUGGGCUUCCGAGGCCUGUAGGGUGAGCACCCAGGGUCCCUCGGCCCCAGCGCACACGUCGCCCCCGGACUGGGGUCCACAAGAGCGCCCUGUCCCAUUGUGCGCCCCAGGUCCCUGCAGCAGCCCGGGGCAAUCUGGUUUUAUCACGCACUUGUUUACUUGUCAGCUUGAGCACUGGGCGUCGUGGGAUUCUCACACCCCGCACACCUGGCAGGUGGAGGUGGCUGCGGGGCUAGAUGCUCUCACUCCGCUGGUGGUCGUGCACACGGGAGACAUGACUUUCCAAGCACGUCAGAUGAACUUUGACGUUAUAAUCUCUUCACUUCUUCAGUCUUUAGAAAGCGAGUAUGUUGCACGUCUGGGGGACGUGUUGUCCUCGUUCUGUGGUUUCUGUGGUUCACCUUUCACGUGGUGCUUUCUUAAUCCAGGUGAGUGUUGCACUGGUUCGUUUCUGGCUGCCUCCCCAGCACUCAUCCCAGAACGUGUCCUUGUGCUGCUGCUCAUGGAUAAGGUUUUCUUCUGUAAUAAAAGUCUGCUCUAAAAAAAAAAAAAAAAAAAAAAAAAAAGUCUGCUCUGUUCACUGGGUCCAGUCAUCUCCCUGCAGUUUGGGGGUGCAGUCAGGACCCCCCAGGGAGGUGCUGGGUCUGGCCUCAGGCCUGCAGAGCCAGACACCCAACUGGCCACUGCCUCAAGGUAACCAAACUUGUAAGAGACUGACAUAAUCGGAGAAGGAAUCCACUGACUUAGGAUGAGAGUGACUCCUGUGGGACAAAAUACUGUGUCCCUCUGUAGACACAGCUGUCCCGGCCCCAGGUUCUGGGGGACUAGAGGUUCCUUGGUUGCCUGAUGCCUGCGGUCAUAACCCUGGAGGGGGUCUGGGAGACCCCGACCUCGUGAGACCCUGGGAUGAUGCCCUGCAAGCACUGAGUGCUGAAGAGCCUGGGUUGGGCCCCUGUCCCAUACCCUUGCUCGUUUGCCUUCCAAGGAAGAGCUGUCCUCUUGAGGGCAGCCCUGCCCCCCAGAAGGGUACACAGGAAUACCUGGAGACAUUCUUGGUUGUCUCCGCUGAGGGGAGGGGCCACCAGACCCUGCAGAGCACAGUAUGCCUGGGGGCAAGGACCAGGCCAAGGAUGGGACUGCAAAGUCCCCGCACAGUCAGGUGAUGGGGAGACGCCCGAGGGCAGACAGAGGAGCAGCACUGUGGGCCAGGGCUUUGGGUGGCAAAACCAGGGGCCAGGCAGCUUUCUGCAGAGACCCAGACACUUGACAGGAGGCCUGUUGAGGCUGAAGAGCGGGAGCCGAGCCUCCAAGGCAUCUGGCACCCCACUAAAGGGCCACACAGGAGGGGGUGAGGGGAGACUGAGGAGGGGGUGGGAGAGGCGAGCCCCAGCCACCUCUGUGCGUUCGUUGGGGGCCAUGUGUCCAGAACAGAACUCGGCUGUGGCCAUUGCCCCAUCCCAGAAAGUGGGCCAGCUGCCACACUCCAGCCCAAACGCCAGGUUGUCGUGCCCCACAUCCCAGCAAACAGCAGGUAAUGUCAG